UACGCAGGUGGCAAGCGUUGUCCGGAUUUACUGGGCGUAAAGAGCGCGCAGGCGGUCGUUCAAGUCGCGUGUGAAAGCCCCCGGCUCAACUGGGGAGGGUCACGCGAUACUGAUCGACUGGAAGGCAGGAGAGGGUAGUGGAAUUCCCGGUGUAGUGGUGAAAUGCGUAGAUAUCGGGAGGAACACCAGUGGCGAAGGCGACUACCUGGCCUGUUCUUGACGCUGAGGCGCGAAAGCUAGGGGAGCAAACGGG
Molecule: ribosomal RNA, 253 nt
Filed under: uncultured bacterium
Lineage: Bacteria
Description: partial 16S ribosomal RNA
Rfam family: Bacterial small subunit ribosomal RNA
Source: RNAcentral